UACGUAGGCAGCGAGCGUUGUUCGGAGUUACUGGGCGUAAAGGGUGUGUAGGCGGUUUUCUAAGUUUGGUGUGAAAUCUCCCGGCUCAACCGGGAGGGUGCGCCGAAAACUGGGAGACUAGAGUGCGGGAUGGGAGAGUAGAAUUCCUGGUGUAGCGGUGAAAUGCGUAGAUAUCAGGAGGAAUACCGAUUGCGAAGGCAGCUCGCUGGGACGUUACUGACGCUGAGACGCGAAAGCGUGGGGAGCGAUCCGG
Molecule: ribosomal RNA, 253 nt
Filed under: uncultured bacterium
Lineage: Bacteria
Description: partial 16S ribosomal RNA
Rfam family: Bacterial small subunit ribosomal RNA
Source: RNAcentral